UUUAAGCGCAACAAUAAGUUUCCCUGUCCAAUUUUGAUUUUCCGUUUUAUUUUAAUUUUUUAUGGUUAAUAUUUUUAUUGUUAUUAGAUAAUAAAACAUGAAUAGUACCAUUUAUAUUUUUAAAAAAUAAAACAGAUGGUCAAAUCGGUGCAAAACCACGGAU
This 163-nucleotide microRNA precursor is filed under the name Oryza meridionalis. RNAcentral's name for it is "MIR812 microRNA precursor family". It matches the Rfam family "MIR812 microRNA precursor family". Lineage: Eukaryota; Viridiplantae; Streptophyta; Magnoliopsida; Poales; Poaceae. The record is from Rfam by way of RNAcentral.